GGCCUAAUGGCCCAAUGGCAAGGCGCUUGACUACGAUCACAUCGAAAUCAAGAGAUUCCAGGUUCGACCCCUGGUUAGGUCA
This is a non-coding RNA of Alternaria arbusti, 82 nucleotides long. The record is from the annotation of a RefSeq genome assembly. NCBI's taxonomy places the organism in Eukaryota, Fungi, Ascomycota, Dothideomycetes, Pleosporales, Pleosporaceae.